Molecule: ribosomal RNA, 253 nt
Filed under: uncultured bacterium
Lineage: Bacteria
Description: partial 16S ribosomal RNA
Rfam family: Bacterial small subunit ribosomal RNA
Source: RNAcentral
UACGUAGGGGGCAAGCGUUGUCCGGAAUCAUUGGGCGUAAAGCGCGCGUAGGCGGCCCGGUAAGUCCGUUGUGAAAGUCAAAGGCUCAACCUUUGAACGCCGAUGGAUACUGCCGGGCUAGAGUCCGGAAGAGGCGAGUGGAAUUCCUGGUGUAGCGGUGGAAUGCGCAGAUAUCAGGAGGAACACCGGUGGCGAAGGCGGGUCUCUGGGCCGAAACUGACGCUGAGGAGCGAAAGCGUGGGGAGCAAACAGG